UGGCGAACGGGUGAGUAACACGUGAAUAACCUACCGAAAAGCAGGGGAUAACAUUUGGAAACAGAUGCUAAUACCGUAUAAAACGUGCUGUCGCAUGACAAAACGUUAAAAGGUCCGUUUGGACCACUUUUGAUGGAUUCGCGGUGCAUUAGUUAGUUGGUGGGGUAAAGGCCUACCAAGACGAUGAUGCAUAGCCGAGUUGAGAGACUGACCGGCCACAUUGGGACUGAGACACGGCCCAA
This 242-nucleotide ribosomal RNA is filed under the name uncultured bacterium. Its description in RNAcentral is "partial 16S ribosomal RNA". It matches the Rfam family "Bacterial small subunit ribosomal RNA", at positions 96 to 334 of the family's 1533-position model. The record is from RNAcentral.